Molecule: RNase P RNA, 364 nt
Filed under: Palleronia caenipelagi
Lineage: Bacteria; Pseudomonadati; Pseudomonadota; Alphaproteobacteria; Rhodobacterales; Roseobacteraceae
Description: Bacterial RNase P class A
Rfam family: Bacterial RNase P class A
About the family: Ribonuclease P (RNase P) is a ubiquitous endoribonuclease, found in archaea, bacteria and eukarya as well as chloroplasts and mitochondria.
Source: Rfam by way of RNAcentral
GCGGAUGGCUGGAUGACCGCGUGUGGGUCCUGCCCGCGCGAGGAAAGUCCGGACUCCAGGAGGCGACGGUGCCGGGUAACGCCCGGGCGGGGCAACCCGACGGAAAGCGCCACAGAAAACAGACCGCCCCGGCCUGUCCGGGGUAAGGGUGAAACGGUGGAGUAAGAGCCCACCGGGGCUCUGGCAACAGGGCCCGCAUGGCAAGCCCCACCGGGAGCAAUGCCGAAUAGGGGAUCCACCGGCAGCUUCCGCCAGGAUCCCGGGUAGGCAGCUAGAUCCGUCCGGCAACGGGCGGGGCAGAUGAAUGGUCAUCCAGUGUCUUUCGGGACAUGGACAGAAUCCGGCUUACAGGCCGUCCGCGCGC